GAAACUGCUGAAGCUGCCAUGUCUAAGAAGAAAACUUGGAGAAGAAUUUUCUUCUUAGACAUGGCAGCGUCAACAGUUUC
RNAcentral lists this microRNA precursor (80 nucleotides) under Rhinopithecus roxellana (golden snub-nosed monkey). RNAcentral's name for it is "miRNA (ENSRROG00000020907.1)". Lineage: Eukaryota; Metazoa; Chordata; Mammalia; Primates; Cercopithecidae. The record is from RNAcentral.